UAGGCAAGGGAAGCGAACGCAGUGAACUGAAACAUCUAAGUAGCUGCAGGAACAGAAAUCAACCGAGAUUCCCAAAGUAGUGGCGAACGAAAUGGGAAGAGCCUUGUACUCUUUAGCAGCAUUGUUAGCAGAACGGGAUGGAAAGCCCGGCCAUAGCAGGUGAUAGCCCUGUAUGCGAAAACAGCGUUGUGGAACUAGGUGUACGACAAGUAGGGCGGGACACGUGAAAUCCUGUCUGAAGAUGGGGGGACCAUCCUCCAAGGCUAAAUACUCGUAAUCGACCGAUAGUGAACCAGUACCGUGAGGGAAAGGCGAAAAGAACCCCGGGAGGGGAGUGAAAUAGAUCCUGAAACCGCAUGCAUACAAACAGUCGGAGCCUGGAAACGGGUGACGGCGUACCUUUUGUAUAAUGGGUCAGCGACUUACAUUCAGUGGCAAGCUUAACCGAUUAGGGAAGGCGUAGCGAAAGCGAGUCCGAAUAGGGCGUUCAGUCGCUGGGUGUAGACCCGAAACCANNUGAUCUAUCCAUGGCCAGGNUGAAGGUGCGGUAACACGNACUGGAGGNCCGAACCNACUANNGUUGNAAANNUAGNGGAUGAGCUGUGGAUAGGGGUGAAAGGCUAAACAAANNUGGAAAUAGCUGGUUCUCUCCGAAAACUAUUUAGGUAGUGCCUCGUGUCUCACCUUCGGGGGUAGAGCACUGUCAUGGUUGGGGGGUCUAUUGCUGAUUACCCCGCCAUAGCAAACUCCGAAUACCGAAGAGUGCAAUCACGGGAGACAGACAUCGGGUGCUAACGUCCGGUGUCAAGAGGGAAACAACCCAGACCGCCAGCUAAGGUCCCAAAGAUUGGCUAAGUGGGAAACGAAGUGGGAAGGCUAAAACAGUCAGGAGGUUGGCUUAGAAGCAGCCACCCUUUAAAGAAAGCGUAAUAGCUCACUGAUCGAGUCGUCCUGCGCGGAAGAUGUAACGGGGCUAAGCCAGUCACCGAAGCUGCGGACGCACGCAAGUGCGUGGUAGGAGAGCGUUCUGUAAGCCUGUGAAGGUGUCUUGUAAAGGAUGCUGGAGGUAUCAGAAGUGCGAAUGCUGACAUGAGUAGCGAUAAAGGGGGUGAAAGGCCCCCUCGCCGUAAGCCCAAGGUUUCCUACGCAACGUUCAUCGGCGUAGGGUGAGUCGGCCCCUAAGGCGAGGCAGAGAUGCGUAGCUGAUGGGAAGCAGGUUAAUAUUCCUGCACCGUCGUAUGAUGCGAUGGGGGGACGGAUCGCGGAAGGUUGUCCGGGUGUUGGAAGUCCCGGUCCCUGCAUUGGAGAAGGCGCUUAGGCAAAUCCGGGCGCGGAAUUCAAGGAUGUGGGGCGAGCGGCCUAGUGCUGCGAAGCAAUUGGAAGUGGUUCCAAGAAAAGCCUCUAAGCUUCAGUCAUACGAGACCGUACCGCAAACCGACACAGGUGGGCGAGAUGAGUAUUCUAAGGCGCUUGAGAGAACUCGGGAGAAGGAACUCGGCAAAUUGGUACCGUAACUUCGGGAUAAGGUACGCCCUUGUAGCUUGACUGGCCUGCGCCAGGAGGGUGAAGGGGUUGCAAUAAAAUGGUGGCUGCGACUGUUUAAUAAAAACACAGCACUCUGCAAACACGAAAGUGGACGUAUAGGGUGUGACGCCUGCCCGGUGCCGGAAGAUUAAAUGAUGGGGUGCAAGCUCUUGAUUGAAGUCCCGGUAAACGGCGGCCGUAACUAUAACGGUCCUAAGGUAGCGAAAUUCCUUGUCGGGUAAGUUCCGACCUGCACGAAUG
Molecule: ribosomal RNA, 1785 nt
Filed under: sediment metagenome
Description: bacterial LSU rRNA
Rfam family: Bacterial large subunit ribosomal RNA
Source: RNAcentral